AACCUGGUUGAUCCUGCCAGUAGUGUAUGCUUCUCCUAAAGACUAAGCCAUGCAUGCCUUCGAAUACGAGGAAGCAAUUCUCUCUGAAUCUGCGAACGGCUCCGCAAACCAGUUGUAAACUAUAGCAAGCAAUCCUGCGGGCGGCUUCGGCUGCUCGUGGGUAACAUGGAUAACCCUGGUAAUUCUGAGGCUAAUACAAGAACGUACUCCCUGGCUGACCGGCAACGGAAGGCUGGGGAGCGUGCAACGUAUCGUAGGGAUAAACCGGGAAUGGGUGCACGCUUGGACCGCGCUAAAGACAGAUCUCGGCGAGCCUUCGGGUGAGCCUUGGCCUGAGCGGCUCUUGCUGUGUGCUUCUGACCUAUCAACUAGACGGCAGCGUAAGGGACAUGCUAUGGUUACAACGGGUACAGAGGAUUAGGGUUCGAUCCUGGAGAGUGGGCCUGAGAGAUUGCUCAUACUUCUAAGGAAGGCAGCAGGCGCGCAACGUUCCCCUUGGGCAAUGCCCGAGGGCGUUAGGGGACAUAUGAAUGCCUGCCAUAUUGGUGGGCAAUUCAAAUGGGUCUGUUCUAAACAGCCUCUCGAGUAAUA
RNAcentral lists this ribosomal RNA (591 nucleotides) under Didymium dubium. RNAcentral's name for it is "bacterial SSU rRNA". It matches the Rfam family "Eukaryotic small subunit ribosomal RNA", at positions 1 to 546 of the family's 1831-position model. Lineage: Eukaryota; Evosea; Eumycetozoa; Physariida; Didymiaceae. The record is from RNAcentral.